This 7023-nucleotide long non-coding RNA is filed under the name Olea europaea subsp. europaea. The record is from RNAcentral. Lineage: Eukaryota; Viridiplantae; Streptophyta; Magnoliopsida; Lamiales; Oleaceae.
AGAAGCCCUAAAAAAUCUCACUAGUCUCUCAUUAUCUCCCGCUUCGCUGCUCCCACUCAAAUCGUCGAUGGCAUUGGCAGCCAUCUUCGAUUUUCAGUUUCCCACUCCUUUCACCGAGAUCUGAACUGGGCUUUUAAGGUUUUGAUUUAGAUUUUUGGAUCUAAAAGAUAUGUGUUUUUUGAGGAACUUGGGGCUUAUAAAUUGUAAAUUUCUCGGUUAAAGCUAAAAGAUUAGGUGUUGUGGUAGUUUUUAGCUGAAACGUGGUUGAUGAUCAGUUCAAGAUUUGGCAUAUGAAUUUCUUGGAAAUCAAAUUCUGGCUUGGGGAAGGGGAAGGCUUCAAUGGGGCAGUUGGAUGAAAAAGAAAAUAAGCUUUCAUAUCAAGAUACUCAUAUCCCUCUUUUCUCUAUGAGUUUUUCUAUCUUGAUUCUUGAGCAAGGGAGAUUUUAUUAUAAUUGUUAGGAUUGCAAGGAUUUAUUUCAAGAUUUCCUUCCCUAUAUAUGUCUCUUCUAUAUGAUAUCGUAGUUAUUAAUUUUUUGCCAUUAAUACUCCUUUUCAUUUUUGCUUUGUGAUUUCGAAAUUCACAUCAAAAAAUUUAUUCUUCAAAAUAAUACCAUUUUAUGAGGAUAUAGUAGUACAAGAAUUUUUACAAUUUUAGUUUGAUUUCCAGGUGAUAAGAAUUGCCUGAAUUUUGAACUUUGGCAUUCCUGUGCUGAUCCUCUCGUUUCUCUACCUGCUGUUGGGACUUGGGAGCCAUGUGAUAUAUUUUCUGCAGGGUCACAGUGAACAGGUUUGUUUCUUGGCUUUUUGUUUUGAUAAAAGUUACAAUUUUCUCAAGGUCGAAUGUUGUUAAGCUUGGUACAUUUACUAUUAAUUUGUUUUUGUUUGGAAUGUUUGGCUGGUGCUCUUGAUGGCAGUGGUGUUUUAAUUACAAAGAGCAUGUUUAGAUCAUGAUUUCUCAGUAUUUUGGUGACUUUAAUAUUUGUUGAUAGAUUGUCCCGAACCGACCAACCCAACCCGACCGACAUUUGGUUGGGUUGGGUUGGGUUUCAAUCCUUGCAUGGGUUGGGUUGGGUUGAAUUUCAAUCAAACUGACCAUGUUGGGUUGGGUUUGGGUUGGGGCAAAAACCAACCCAACCCACGCCCACCCCUAACUGUAAGAUAGUUCAAACUUCCCACUAGCUGACGAUAUAAAGAGGGAUAAAAAAGAAGAUCCCCUUCCUCCUUGCUCUACUUUACAUUUACCUCCAAAAAAGUGUCAACAACUUUACCAUCCCGAAGUCCACCUAAUGCAAUCAAUUCCUCUAUAUACUUAUGCUGAUGUAGAUAAGUCCCGGACGGACUUGAAAGCACCUCUAGACCUAAGAAGUAUUGUAAAUAUCCCAAAUCCUCCAUAUGAAAUGACUCCUUAAGUCGGUUUUGAAGGUGAGAUAUCAAUCCCAAGUAUGUCCAUGUAAUAACUAUAUCAUCCACAUAGAUAAGAAGGAACACAAUACCUACCUCGCUGACAGAGAUAAAGAGCGAUAAGUCAUACUGGCUCUGAGUAAAUGAGAAUCCCAAGAGAGUGGAACGAAACUUGUCAAACCAAGCACGAGGAGCCUGUUUCAGCCCAUAAAGUGAACACUUUAGCUUAAAAACCUCAAAAGAGGGUUUGGAGAAGAGACUUGGUGGAGGAGACAUAUAGAUCUCUUCCUGAAGAUCACCAUGCAAAAAAGCAUUUUGACAUCCAUCUACCGCAUAGACCAACCUUUAGAGGCAGCUAUAGUAAAAAUCGUACGAACCGUGGUCAUUUUCACAACGGGAGCAAAAUUCUCCUCAUAAUCCACUCCAUAUUCUUGGUGAUUACCAAGAGCCACCAACCGAGCUUUAUAUCGAUCUAAGGAACCGUCAGAGCGUAGCUUAAUAGAAUAGACCUACUUACAUUCAAUAGGUUUGACCCCAGGAGGACAAAGACAAUAUCCCAAGUGUGAUUCUCUUGAAGAGCCAGGAGUUCCUCUUACAUUACUUUUUCUCAACAACGUUGGGUAACUACCUGAGAAUAAGAAGUAGGAACAGUGAUAUGAGAUAAGGUUGCAGAGAAACCAUACUUUUCGGGACGUUUAACAGUGUGAGUGGACCGCAUAAGAUUAGUAGAGCCUGGAGAGGGAUUAGGGUCAGGAAGAGGCGAUAGGGCCGAAGACUGUCGUCUUUAAUAGACCAAACCUGGUUUAAAACGUUCAUUGGGACGAGAGUCAUCCUCAAAUAUACUAAGCCGAGCCAAAUCAGAAGAGGAUAUGACAUGCUGGUGGAAAUAAUACUGAUUCUCAAAGAAAACCACAUUGCGAGAUAUAAGGAAGCGGUUAGCAACACCAUCAUAACAAACGAAGCCCUUCUGAGCAAUACUAUAUCCCAUAAAAACACAUUUUACAGAUUGAGCAGCAAGUUUAUGAUGUUUAUGAGGAGGCGGAUGAACAAAGCAAACACAGCUAAAAUUAUUUAACAUAUCAUAACUAGGAUGUGUACUGUAUAAGCGAAAAUAAGACGAGUCAAAAUUCAAAUAUUGAGAAGGAAGUCAAUUAAUUAGGUAUACGACUGUGGAUAGGGCUUCAACCCAAAAUUUAGGUGGAACUAAUGAUUCCAAAAGCAAAACUCGAACAACAUCUAACAAGUGCCGAUUCUUUCUUUCGACUACCCCAUUUUGUUGUAGAGCAUAUGGAAAAGAACGUUGAGAGAUAAUACAUUUUUGUUAUAAGAAGUUUUGACAAUCAUGAGACAUAUAUUCUCCCCCAUUUUUAGACCAUAAAAUAUGAAUGUUGGUAGAAAACUGUGUCUUAAUGUAAGCUACAAAAGUUCUAAGAGUGGUACUAACCUCACUCUUAGAACGAAGAAAAUAUAUCGAAGUGUAGCGACUAAAAUCAUCAAUAAACGUCACAAAAUAUUUAUAUUGAGCAUGUGAAGUAACAGGCGUGAUACCCUAAACAUCACUAUGAAUAAUCUUAAAGCAUUUAUCAACAUGAUUGCCAUGGGUAGGAAAUGGAAGAGUCUUACUUUUCCCAAGUUUACAAGUAUCACAAUCAAAAUUUAAAUUGGAAAUUGAAACUAAUCUUUAUUAACAAGGAAACCACAUUUCAACAAAUGAGACAAAAUUAAAGUGUUUGGAUGCCCUAAUCUUUUAUGCCAAAUCUCAUGCUUGAGUCAAAAACUAAUACAAGCCAAAGACAUAGCGUGAGGAAUAGUAAACUGCCUUCCUCGACGCCUGAUCCUGUACAAGAUAACCAACACAAGAAAUACAUAUAUCACAGUUAUUAUCAACCAAUUGACCAACCGAAAUCAAGUUUAUAGAUAAGUUCGAAGAUACAAAAACAUUAUCAAACCGAGACCCAAGAUCACCACCAACAGUAAUAGGAAAGGUACUGUCAUUAGCGAUUUGAAUAUGUUGUGAGCUAUUAUUCAAUGAACCAGAACUACCUGUCAUGUGGUAUGAUGCUCCUGAGUCAACAAACCAAGGUGAAGAAACAACUGAACCCUUACCUUGUAACCCCAAGGCAGAGAAGGUGGAAGCAAUCAUCUGCUGAACUAUUUCUGGGGUAAGUAGAGGUUGACUGGUGCUAGUCUGUGAAGGUCUUGGAGUAGUACCUCGAAUGUCAACCUGAAAUGCUUUAGCUUUCUGAUAUGGAGGUCGUGUGGGACAGUCCUUGAUGAUUUUCCCUGGUUCCUUACAAUAAUUGCAAAUUGUCUGAGGAUAGUUACGAGUAAUAUAAUCGUAUCCUUUGCAAUGAAAACACUGAAGUUUACUCUUCCCUCGUCCUUGGGCAACAUAUGCAACAUUGACCACAUCGGGUGAGGAAAUAUCAGCUCCCACCGUAGCUUAAGUAGCCAAUCGUUACUCUACAUGCAAAAGUUUACCCAAAAAAAAAUCCAAUGGAGGAACUGGAUCACGAUUCAAUAAGCCUGCUCAAACCACUUCAAAUUCGGGUCAUAGUUUCAUCAAGAACUAAUCUCGCUUACUAACUUCCUAAACAUCUUGUAGUGCUGAUAAUGUCGUCACAGGAACCUUAGCAUGAAUUAUGCGGGAAUACUCACUCCAUAAGUUAAAAAAGCCAGAGUAAUACUGCUCAAUAGUAAGAUUACCCUGAGUGUAAUUAGCAAUCUCUAACUCCAGCUAGAAUUUUCAAGCAUUAUUGUCUUGAUAAUAAAUGUGCUUUAAAUAUUCCCACAUUUCCUUUACAGUAGUAAAGGAGUGUAAAUUAUUCACCAUGUGCGCCUCCAUAGAUCCCACAAUCCAGGAAAUAAUUCUAGCAUCCUUUGCCCCCAAAGCUCCUUCCCUUUUAAGAUCAUCUUGAAUUGAAAUUUCCAUAUAGGAUAAUUCUUUCCAGUAAACUUAACACAAAAUGCCUCGAUCGGCAUGACUUCUCAAUGUUAGAAAAUCACAAAAUAUUUUAACCUCCGUCCACAAAAUACCCUAAUCAAAGCCCACUUUGAACAACAGCCCAUGUAUAAAUCAAAAUAAUUGUCCACAGCCCACUUCAAUUUAUAACCACACAAUCUACUCCAAGAUGCCCAAUUCAGUUAUGGAGCCCAUACCCAAACCCACAUACCUAAUGGAUCAGGCCCAGUUAAUAAAACCUAAAAUUACAACCAAACCCACACUGCUUCACACCGACCACGAAAACGCAAUCCUAUAGAAGCGCGUCGAUCACCGGAGACACAAAACGAGAGCCAUCGUCGAUCGUUGCACACACAGAUGGAGAUGCCAAUAACUGGACAGGUAAUCUCCCAUGCCGAUUGCACACACAGGAACCACAACAAUGCUUUACACAUGAAAACGCCGCACACACAGAAACGCCAGAGAAUCUCAUACUCAACUUCGACCACCUACAGAGAAUCGACUCCCACCUGUGAAGGAAGUCAGAUACCGUUCUUCUCGAUUCCAGAACUCAAGAUGCCACCACAUGAGACUUAGUGACCAACAAAGGGAGCCCAUGAUUCAGCGAUCUCAGAGGUAGGCUCUGAUACCAUAACAAUAUUUUUAGGCUGAAUAAUCUCCCCAUUCAAAUUCUUGUAUUAUAUAUUAAUAAAGAUAUACAAAUAUGGAAAAAGCAUUUUACAAGUAUGGUAAGGGAAUGUGUAAAUAUGAUUACAAUAUGAAAUUGGUAAAUAAUCUUCGUCCAUCUCUCAUUGACAAACAUCAAUUUAAAUCACCCUUGAAUACUGCGUAAUUGAUCCUCAUCACAUAUUGAAAUUUGAAGAGUUAACAAGUCUGUUUAAUAGAAACGCAGAAGUACAUGUACACAGAAUAAGGAAUGAGUGUUACAUAUACAUAUUUGUGUAUAAACAACUAUUCAGAUGGCUUUGCUACAAAAAUCGUAUGUUGAAGAUGGUAAGGAACCUGUUUCUUUAUGUAAUACUUUAAUUAAUUUAAAAGGGAAGUCAACCAAAUUGGUCAAAAAUGUCCAGAAUAAAAAAAAAGGAUAAAAUAAAAAUUGGCAUGUAGUGGAUAAAAGCCAUCCAAAUCCAAUAUAUAUAUAUAUAUAUAUAUAUAUAUAUAUAUAUAUAUAUAUAUAUAUCAUAACACAACACACACUACAAACACAAGAAAUGGAAAGAAAGAGAAAAGAAAAAAGAAACAGAAGAAAAAGAAAGGAGAAAAAGGGGAAGAAAAAGAAGGAAAAAAAGGAGGAAAAUUCGCCAACAUGUUUGGAAUUAAGUGGGUCAUACUAUUAGGCUUGAAUUCCUCAAUUUCGAAAAGUAAGUAAAAAGGUACUUAUUGUCAAGUUAUGUUUAAUUUUAAAGUUCUUUGAUUGUUAGAUUAAAUUCAAUUUUAUUGAAGGGGUUAAGUAUAAUAAAUUAUGAAAUUGAGUAAAAUGAAAGAAAAAUUAGUUUUAGUGAUUAAAUAGACUUUAGAAAUUGUUUAAACGUGCAAUGAUUAAGUUGAGUAUCGCUUGUUUAAUUAUUGAAAUUACUUAAAAUAAUUAAUUAUCGAUUUAAUAUAUCAUAUUUCAAGCGGCGAUACGGGCAUUGGGACAGCGUACCAACCAAGUUGAUACUGACGUGCAUAGUUCUGUAAGUGAAAAAAUAUAAAUAUUUUUAAAGUAAUUAUAAAUAAAGUAUAUUAUCAAAGUAUGUGCAAUUAUGUAAAUUAUUUGCUUCAUUAUGUGAUUACGAUGAAAGUUUCUCUUAUUAUAAUUCAUGUGGAAUCUCAAAGAUUUUUUAUGGUACAUUUAUGACUUGGUAUAUAAGACACGUGAUAUUGAAAUUUGUAUGGUAUGUGAGACAUGUAAUAUUGAGAUCGGCCAAAAAAGUACCCAUGAUUAUAUAAUUUUUCUAGUUCACAGAGGGGCCUUAACCUUGUUCUAUCCUACCGGAGGGUCUUGACGAACAUUGAUCUUGACUGUGUAUAUAUAGUUCAUAGAAGGGCAUUGGCCAUAUUCUAGAAUUGAUUAUGAGAGGUCUUUGAGCUCCGCUUUCGUUCACGGAGGGGACUAAGGGCCCGUGAUGAAAGUUCUUAGCCCGCGGGAUGGAUUACAGAUUUCAGUCAAAGGGUGCAUUUUUUGUGGAUUUUUCAGUAUAUUUGAUAUAAUGAGAGUACAGUAUGAUUAUCAGCUUAUGCUUAUAUCAUGAUUUGAGAUGAUACUUUAUGAAGUUGUGUGGAUAUCUCACGUUUUGGCUAUAAUUAUAUGAUGUUAUCUUGUGAAUUAGUUAAUGAUAUGAAUUCGAUUUUCAAUAAAUGUAAAAUGGGAAAAGUAUAUUUAAUUUUGAACUUCUCCACUCAUUGAGCUAUCUACUCAUAUAUUUUCCCACGUUUUUCUUUAUCAGGCAGCAAUUGAGUAUCUGGGCAUCUUGGGGAGUCGAGUCUUGAUUUUGAAUUCAGACCCACACGACAGAGUUUGUUAGUAUGACUCACUUCAUAGAACAUGUAGUCAGUGUUUUGGGACGCCGUCUAGAUGUGGUUUUUGCAUCACUUGUAAAUAGUUAUUGGGCUCACUAUGUAAUUUGCUUCCAUAUGUACAUUUCAUGCUAUUUUCUUGGUAAAAGAUGAACUUUCAG